Molecule: long non-coding RNA, 1864 nt
Organism: Panicum hallii
Lineage: Eukaryota; Viridiplantae; Streptophyta; Magnoliopsida; Poales; Poaceae
Exons: 4
Source: RefSeq, a predicted model, not a curated record
CAGCGGCGGGGCCGGCGGCCGACACUUCGGCAGCAACGUCGAGGCGGCGGAAGUCGCGUUAUGGUCUUCGUUUGCAUUGAGGCGCAUAAACCCUAAUCCGCUAGGAAAUUUGUUCCCCUCGCCGCCACCUUUAUCGAUCUCUGCCCGAGGACACCCAACCGCGCAGGCGCAGGCGACGGGCGGCCGCCGAGCCGGCGGGGGCGACGAGGCCGGCGGCUCGUGAUCCGCCGACCGCGCUCAGAUCCUGCGGUAACUGGCAGGCAGCUGUGCCGCGCAGAUCCUGACGUGGACAUGUGGCCUCGGCGCCGACAGAUCCGAGAGUCUGGCCUCCUGCAGAAAACAGCAGAAUUUAAAGACACCUUGUUGGUUAUUUUAAAUUUUAGACCUAUUGGGUUUUGAUCUUUGGACCUCAUAUGUUCUCUGAUGCGCAUGUUUGAGCAACUAUUGAGUAAUCUGUAAAAAGGAGGAAAAUCAUUGUAAUGAUUACACCAUCUCAAUCCAGAUAAUUUUAAUGACAUAAACGGGGCCCGAAGCAAUGAGGGAGCAUGACUGCUCAAUAAUGAUGGUCAUAUGGGACUUGUAUGGUCAAGUUGCAGCCUGUGCUUUCUAACCAUCAUUUUCUGUUUGUUAAUGAAGGUGAUCAAUGGAUCGAGAUCCAGGCACUCAUGAUGGAAAACACAGCAUGCAAUGGUGAGCCCAAUCGAAGGGUAGCUCGAUCGACAAGCAGAAUCCAAGAAGCAAAAAGAUUCUUGGCUCGGCCGGUGCUCCUUGUCAUGCAGCUUCGGCGAAGCCACGGCCACAGCCCUGCCAGCGAGUAAACAAAUGCAGGGCCAUUUGCAAAGCAUAUAGGUACAUGCUUGUCUUGCUAAAUAAUUAACCAUGUUCAAAUUGUUACCCCAAGAUAACCAUGAUAUUUAACACCACUCGAUUUUCUUAUUAUGCAAACACACAAGACCAUGCCUUGGAAGCUACAUGGACAGCAUAUAUUUAAAAGGAGGCUGAGUUGCUCAUCUGUCUGUCAGUAUCUGUUCAUGAUGAUUUUUAACGGCAAUCAUACUGAAAAUUUUGUAAGCCAAUCGAGUGAUAAUUAAAAGAUUAUACUCAUAUUAAAUGGGGCGGCGACCAAGCAGAACGAUGGUACUCCGGUCAAGUGGGAGUGUUUUCUUGUCCCCAAAUGCAGAGUGACAUUGCCUGCCACUGAUCCAAUUUAUAAUCAGUCCCUAAUUAUCUUUCUUACUUGUUUGCCCACCCAAAACAACCCCUCUGCUGCCUCUUAUCAUCUCUUCACCUUUGCCCUUUUCAGCUAUAAAAGUAGACCUGACCUCGUCUCCGUCUUUGCACCAGCACAAUUGUGUUCCUCUUCCUCCCCCUAGGGUUACAAGAUGGGGGUCGUCAAGGUGCGCACUGGAGAAGCGAGCUCACUAUCUAUGGCCUGGAAUUAAAGAUCUGAUCUAUAUACCAGGUUUUGCAUUUGGGGGCAGCAAACUAGAGGCGGCAACUGCAUAACUUGCGAGAAACUUGUUGGAUGGUGGUCAUGCCGAUGAUUUUGCCGCAAGUUAUGCAGUUGCUGCCUCAAGCUUGCUGCCUCCAUGUGCUGAACCAAGUGGGAAUAAGAUGAAGAAAGUUAAACUACAGAUCUUCCAUAGCCAUGUAUCUUAGGUUUAGCAUGCAUGAGAAAAAACGAAGGGAAGCAGUAAUGCUAGAAGGCUGUGUACAAUCCGUCAUGCACUUUGGGCAAGCUAACUAGCUGCCAGUGUACAGUUAUUAAUUUGGUUUCCAUUGUUGUGAAUUGGUGUUUUUGCUGUGUUUUACAUUAGUCAAUCUGAUUUUCUGCCAUAUGAGCAAAAGGCACCAGAUGAUGAAA